GACGAACGCUGGCGGCGUGCUUAACACAUGCAAGUCGAACGAAGAGCGAUGGAAGCUUGCUUCUAUCAAUCUUAGUGGCGAACGGGUGAGUAACGCGUAAUCAACCUGCCCUUCAGAGGGGGACAACAGUUGGAAACGACUGCUAAUACCGCAUACGAUCUAACCUCGGCAUCGAGGAUAGAUGAAAGGUGGCCUCUACAUGUAAGCUAUCACUGAAGGAGGGGAUUGCGUCUGAUUAGCUAGUUGGAGGGGUACCGGCCCACCAAGGCGAUGAUCAGUAGCCGGUCUGAGAGGAUGAACGGCCACAUUGGGACUGAGACACGGCCCAGACUCCUACGGGAGGCAGCAGUGGGGAAUCUUCCGCAAUGGACGAAAGUCUGACGGAGCAACGCCGCGUGAGUGAUGACGGCCUUCGGGUUGUAAAGCUCUGUUAAUCGGGACGAAAGGCCUUCUUGCGAAUAGUUAGAAGGAUUGACGGUACCGGAAUAGAAAGCCACGGCUAACUACGUG
This 510-nucleotide ribosomal RNA is filed under the name uncultured bacterium. Its description in RNAcentral is "partial 16S ribosomal RNA". It matches the Rfam family "Bacterial small subunit ribosomal RNA", at positions 28 to 507 of the family's 1533-position model. The record is from RNAcentral.